This is a long non-coding RNA of Lycium barbarum (goji berry), 589 nucleotides long. RefSeq lists it as uncharacterized. The transcript has 3 exons. Lineage: Eukaryota; Viridiplantae; Streptophyta; Magnoliopsida; Solanales; Solanaceae. The record is from RefSeq and is a predicted model, not a curated record.
AAAAGAGAAGGUAAAGCUCCCAUGGCUGCUCUCGGCCAGCCAUGGUGAGUGAGGAGAAAAUAAAUUUUUGAAUGUUUUGAGCAAAUUUCAAGUGUAGUACAAAUUCAAGGAGGUGAUAGCAACAUUGGAUUUUAAGUUGGAGAAGAAGAAAUUGCGAAAUCGGAGCAAUUGAGCGUAGAAAUUCCUCUGAGAAAAUUGUGGCUAAAAGAGCGACGAGGCGAACGGAUUUACGAAUAGUCGCUAACAGGUACAGAUAGUCGGUUUGGCGACCCUUCAGCAUAGGACUUCUACUCAGCUGUUUUGGAGAGCUCCGUUGUUCCGGAGUCUAGACCUUUGGUUCAGAUCUUAUGACGUAUAUGUAUAUGUUUACCUAGGGGUACGACGGGGCCCUGUCCCGUUAUAUUUCGCUACUAGUACUCUUAGAGGUCUGUGGACAUAUGUGUGGGUUGUGUAUAAGUUCUGUUCAGCUGUGUCUGUACGAUGUGCAAUGACAUAAUGUUCGUCUGUAGUGGCAGCCUUGUCGGCUUGCAUAUGAUAUUGAUAUGUAGUGGCAGCCUUGUCGGCUUGCGUAUCAUUUCAUGAUUUGAUU